GACGAACGCUGGCGGCGUGCUUAACACAUGCAAGUCGUACGGUAAGGCCCUUUCGGGGGUCCACGAGUGGCGAACGGGUGAGUAACACGUGAGUAACCUGCCCACAACUUUGGGAUAACGCUAGGAAACUGGUGCUAAUACUGGAUAUGUGCUCCUGCUGCAUGGUGGGGGUUGGGAAGCUCCGGCGGUUGUGGAUGGACUCGCGGCCUAUCAGCUUGUUGGUGGGGUAGUGGCCUACCAAGGCGGCGACGGGUAGCCGGCCUGAGAGGGUGACCGGCCACAUUGGGACUGAGAUACGGCCCAGACUCCUACGGGAGGCAGCAGUGGGGAAUAUUGCACAAUGGGCGCAAGCCUGAUGCAGCAACGCCGCGUGCGGGAUGACGGCCUUCGGGUUGUAAACCGCUUUCAGCAGGGACGAAGCUUUUUGUGACGGUACCUGCAGAAGAAGCACCGGCUAACUACGUG
RNAcentral lists this ribosomal RNA (465 nucleotides) under uncultured bacterium. RNAcentral's name for it is "partial 16S ribosomal RNA". It matches the Rfam family "Bacterial small subunit ribosomal RNA", at positions 28 to 507 of the family's 1533-position model. The record is from RNAcentral.